GACCUCGGAUCAGACGUGAGUACCCGCUGAACUUAAGCAUAUCACUAAGCGGAGGAAAAGAAACUAACCAGGAUCCCA
Molecule: ribosomal RNA, 78 nt
Filed under: Paragonimus westermani
Lineage: Eukaryota; Metazoa; Platyhelminthes; Trematoda; Plagiorchiida; Troglotrematidae
Description: partial 28S ribosomal RNA
Rfam family: Eukaryotic large subunit ribosomal RNA
Source: RNAcentral